This 1064-nucleotide long non-coding RNA is filed under the name Dicentrarchus labrax (European seabass). RNAcentral describes it as "lncRNA (ENSDLAG00005030488.1)". Lineage: Eukaryota; Metazoa; Chordata; Actinopteri; Moronidae. The record is from RNAcentral.
AUAUUUUUCAUUGUUGAGGGUGCGUAGCCCUUCUGGAACAGGUAUGUUGGCCAACCACGCAACUUGUCCAUUUAGGUCAGGAACCUUAGGUCACUGGAGACCAUCUUGGAGGGUAGGCCAGCAGCCAUGUUGAGGCAAAAACGGAGAGCAUGGCUGGAUGACUGCUUUGCAUUGUCUCUGUCCUUCCUUCGGCGGACUGUUUUUUUGGUUAGAGAGCAGCGAGUCUGAAGCAACAGAGGAAUAACAAGUGAAGAGUUGUAAUAGUAGAGUGCGCAAAACUUCAUGAAGCUUGUGUUUUUUAACGAUUGUUUGCUCAACAGUCAAAGUAUAAAAGGACAAGUUCAUAUUAAGAGCUUGCUUUGCAUUGUCUCUGUCCUUCCUUCCCGUCCGUGGCCCCAAGUGAAACUUGAAAAAGUCUUUACAUAAAAACAUGUGCCCUUCUUUAGCUUGACGACGUGCUCCCUCUUUUGAGCAGACAGAGGUGCUUUUAGCGGGGAGGGUGUCUGUUGCUGCAAUGCGAUCAAACCUUUUUUUCCAGCUGCCGUAACCUGGAAUCCAACUGCUCACAGUUGCUUUUGCAGUCCCUUGACAUUGAACCAGUCGAGUGUGGACUGUUGCCACUCAAGUGCCCCAGUAGGUUUACUGAAGGAAGUACGCUCUCACUUGACGGGGGAGGCAUGGACCCACACAGGGCGGUGAAAGGGAUUUGGUGACUGGGAGAGGAGUUUUGGGCCUCAGAAACAGAGGUGGAAGGAAGUGGCUGACCAGUAUUUUGAGGAAGGACACUGGAGGAGGACAUGGUGUAAACGUCAUCCUGUCCUUGUGGUAUAGGGGUGGAACAUUGGUUAGCGGAAUGGAUUCCAGUCGGAGGAUGAUUCUUGAAGGAUGAAUUGCCACUCAAGGCUUCCUCCUCCUCCUCCUCCUCCUCCAUGUACUCUGAUCCCUCUGGCUCCUCCCUCAGUUCCUUGGAAACAGCCUUCUCAAUGAUUUCUCCAAUAGGCCUAUUCCUCAUUUUCAGUGGUAAUUCCCAAGUCCAAGCUGGAUACCAUGGUUGGACUCACGCA